Molecule: ribosomal RNA, 458 nt
Filed under: uncultured bacterium
Lineage: Bacteria
Description: bacterial SSU rRNA
Rfam family: Bacterial small subunit ribosomal RNA
Source: RNAcentral
GAUGAACGCUGGCGGCGUGCUUAACACAUGCAAGUCGAGCGGGCAAUUUAUCUAGCACUGAUUACUUCAAAUGGAAAUCAUAAGUGUAAUCAUGAAUUUCUACCUUUAAUAAGGGAAAAAAGAAAUUCAUGUACGCAAAUAGUGAUAACACAUGAAAGUGGAGUGAUGAGUGCUGGAUAAAUUGCUAGCGGCGGACGGGUGCGUAACACGUGGGUAACCUGCCCCUAUCACUGGGAUAACACACUGAAAAGUGUGCUAAUACCAGAUAACAUAAGCUUUUGGCAUCAUUAGCUUAUCAAAGAAUUUCGGAUAGGGAUGGGCCCGCGUCUGAUUAGCUAGUUGGUGAGGUAACGGCUCACCAAGGCAACGAUCAGUAGCCGACCUGAGAGGGUGAUCGGCCACACUGGAACUGAGACACGGCCCAGACUCCUACGGGAGGCAGCAGUAGGGAAUUUUCG